This 235-nucleotide ribosomal RNA is filed under the name uncultured bacterium. Its description in RNAcentral is "partial 16S ribosomal RNA". It matches the Rfam family "Bacterial small subunit ribosomal RNA", at positions 355 to 607 of the family's 1533-position model. The record is from RNAcentral.
UGGGGAAUAUUGCACAAUGGGCGAAAGCCUGAUGCAGCAACGCCGCGUGAGUGAUGAAGGUCUUCGGAUUGUAAAGCUCUGUCUUUUGGGACGAUAAUGACGGUACCAAAGGAGGAAGCCACGGCUAACUACGUGCCAGCAGCCGCGGUAAUACGUAGGUGGCGAGCGUUGUCCGGAUUUACUGGGCGUAAAGGGUGCGUAGGCGGAUGUUUAAGUGAGAUGUGAAAUACCCGGG